This is a long non-coding RNA of Girardinichthys multiradiatus, 1111 nucleotides long. RefSeq lists it as uncharacterized. The record is from RefSeq and is a predicted model, not a curated record. The transcript has 2 exons. Lineage: Eukaryota; Metazoa; Chordata; Actinopteri; Cyprinodontiformes; Goodeidae.
AAGCUGCAGGUCUUAAUGAGGAUGAAGAUGAGGAGCAGAACUACAGUGAGGAGGAAGGUUAGGACAUCGAGGCUGUGAUACUGGUACCAGUGUUGUCUGCACAUUGAUCAACUGGACACCAUUUGACUUCAGAGCAACCUCUGACCUCAAGGGUUGCAAGUUAAGCGGGCACAUCGAGCCGCUCCUCUCUUAGGCCUCUGGUCAGCGGACAAAGAGCAGAGGUCAGCUUUGUCUCCACAUGGUCAUCACAGGGGUGCAGAGAAACAAACAUCUCUGAGCUUUGUUGGCACAAAGAAGCAGCAGUUCUGCUCUUUGCUUGAGUUUUCAGUCAGUGUGAAGGUAUAGUGGGAUUUGUUUAUGUAAUGGUUAAUUUUUAUGUUAGAAAGAAUUGUAACGUAUUUUUUCAUGGAUAUUAAUGAUUUUCUGUUUUCUUGAAUGUUCUUGGAGCCGUAUCAAAGAAGUUUGCGUGUUGGACACCCUUCAAAUCUUUUCCAUUUCGUCCAAUAACAGAUACGGAGAUGUUGAGGGGUUUGUUUCCUGCAAAGAAAUGCUGGAUGUUUUUAGGUGAAAAAUAACAAAUAUAAGUCUACUUUUAAAGGCAAAGUGAACUCUGCAAAUAAGCUGGAGUCUUAAAUUCUGCAGUUACUUAAGAUUUUGUCAUGAGACUUACUUUGUGUUAUUUUGUUUUUUUUAAGGAUAAAAGCGAGGAUAAAAAGUAUUCAUCACAGUCUUUUUGGUGAUACAUCUAUCGCUGCAUAUGGCCAGAGCCCCACAAACACAAGUACUGUUCUAUAAUAAAGCUAACACAUUUUUAAAUUAGCUGCUUCAGUACAUCACUUACAGUAGGUUGUGAAGAACACAAUAAAUGCAUUCAAUCACAUUUCCAGAUUUAUUGAUAUUUACUGACACUUUAAAGUAACAACCCCAGCCAACAUUUGGCUCCUUGUUUUUUUUCCUUCAAUAAGGAAAUAACCUAGGAAAUCUGGACAUUGCCUUUAGUUUUCCAGGUCAAGAUAAGUUUGGAAAAUAAAUUAAUAGAGAAAAAUGUUUGAGUUUCCUGAUUUAUUUCUUUCUUCCAAUAAAAUACAAAUAUCUAAUACUGCUCAAUAAA